This is a long non-coding RNA of Mytilus californianus (California mussel), 460 nucleotides long. RefSeq lists it as uncharacterized. The record is from RefSeq and is a predicted model, not a curated record. The transcript has 3 exons. NCBI's taxonomy places the organism in Eukaryota, Metazoa, Mollusca, Bivalvia, Mytilida, Mytilidae.
UGCAUAAUUCCGCAUGAAUUUGUUAAAAUAAACAGUGAGUUCUUUUUCUGAAUACCCAAAAGAGUCAAAUACUUCAAGACUGUUCUUUCUAUUACAGAAAAAUGCUACCCAAUGUCUUCCUGGUAAGCCUGUGACAUCUGUAUUGGCUAUCACACCCAUUCCUGGUAGCAGGUGAACUUGAGACAGUUCAUCAGAUGAGAAUACACCAAGAACAGAUCGUUGUAAGUCAACGUCUGAAACAAUGACACACUUUAGCUCGAACAUAAUGUGGAACUUCGAAAAUGUUUGACCAGUUUCCCAUGGAGGCUGCACUCAACCUUCGAAGAAGUGGCUUUUGUUCUCCAUCGACAAUAGAUUCACCACAUAUAUUAGAAUACAAAACCUGAAUCCACAGAUACUUUGAAAAGAUAUCCACGACGACUAAUAGGUACCGAAAAUUACUGUUUUCACUCGCUAUGCU